RNAcentral lists this long non-coding RNA (465 nucleotides) under Brassica napus (rape). Its description in RNAcentral is "long non-coding RNA (BNAP_LNC023220)". The record is from RNAcentral. Lineage: Eukaryota; Viridiplantae; Streptophyta; Magnoliopsida; Brassicales; Brassicaceae.
GUGGUAGUGAUUUGCCUUAGCUUGUGUUCAGCCAGGAAGCAACGUCCAGAUCGCGGCAAUUCCGUUAUUAGUCGGGAAUUUGAUGCUUAAGUGAUAAGUCGAAGGGAAUGCCUUCAUGGCGUUAAGCCAAGGCGUGCCCGUGAUGACGUUGUAAAUGGUCGGGUGGUCGAUGACCGCGAAGUCGACAAUCUUCGUGACUUCUUUCACAGCAACGGGCAAUUUAAUCGACCCGGGAGUCAUUGACAUUGUGCCCUCGAAACUGGUUAGCGGCUUGGGCGAUGGUACGACUUCUCCUAGCUCGACGUUCAUCCUCUUGACAGUAUCGCGGAAGAUGACAUUGACUGCGCUUCCCGUGUCGAUGAGAACCCUUGCGACCUCAAGAUCUCUUAUCACGAGAUCGAUCACGAUCGGAUCGUAGUGGGGGUAAGUUUUGAUGGCACAGAUGGUAUCGCUGCAGUAUUGCGA